Molecule: ribosomal RNA, 406 nt
Filed under: uncultured bacterium
Lineage: Bacteria
Description: partial 16S ribosomal RNA
Rfam family: Bacterial small subunit ribosomal RNA
Source: RNAcentral
AUUGAACGCUGGCGGCAGGCCUAACACAUGCAAGUCGAACGAGUGGCGGACGGGUGAGUAAUGUCUGGGAAACUGCCUGAUGGAGGGGGAUAACUACUGGAAAAGGGAGCUAAUACCGCAUACCAUCGGAUGUGCCCAGAUGGGAUUAGCUAGUAGGUGGGGUAAAGGCUUACCUAGGCGACGAUGCCUAGCUGGUCUGAGAGGAUGACCGGCCACACUGGAACUGAGACACGGCCCAGACUCCUACGGGAGGCAGCAGUGGGGAAUAUUGCACAAUGGGCGAAAGUCUGAUGGAGCCAUGCCGCGUGUAUGAAGAAGGCCUUCGGGUUGUAAAGUACUUUCAGCGAGGAGGCGUUACUCGCAGAAGAAGCACCGGCUAACUCCGUGCCAGCAGCCGCGGUAAUAC